UGGGGAAUAUUGGACAAUGGGCGCAAGCCUGAUCCAGCAAUGCCGCGUGUGUGAAGAAGGCCUUCGGGUUGUAAAGCACUUUUAUCAGGAGCGAAACGCUGUCGGCUAAUACCCGGCGGAACUGACGGUACCUGAGGAAUAAGCACCGGCUAACUUCGUGCCAGCAGCCGCGGUAAUACGAAGGGUGCAAGCGUUAAUCGGAAUUACUGGGCGUAAAGCGUGCGUAGGCGGUUUCUUAAGUCUGCUGUGAAAUCCCCGGGCUCAACCUGGGAAUGGCAGUGGAUACUGGGAGGCUAGAGUGUGUCAGAGGGUGGUGGAAUUCCCGGUGUAGCGGUGAAAUGCGUAGAGAUCGGGAGGAACAUCAGUGGCGAAGGCGGCCACCUGGGACACACUGACGCUGAGGCACGAAAAGCGUGGGGAGCAAACAGGAUUAGAUACCCUGGUAGUCCACGCCCUAAACGAUGCGAACUGGAUGUUGGUCUCAACUCGGAGAUCAGUGUCGAAGCUAACGCGUUAAGUUCGCCGCCUGGGGAGUACGGUCGCAAGACUGAAACUCAAAGGAAUUGAC
RNAcentral lists this ribosomal RNA (568 nucleotides) under uncultured bacterium. RNAcentral's name for it is "partial 16S ribosomal RNA". It matches the Rfam family "Bacterial small subunit ribosomal RNA", at positions 355 to 914 of the family's 1533-position model. The record is from RNAcentral.